Molecule: transfer RNA, 76 nt
Filed under: Burkholderiales bacterium
Lineage: Bacteria; Pseudomonadati; Pseudomonadota; Betaproteobacteria; Burkholderiales
Also listed under: 2 other names
Description: tRNA-Arg
Rfam family: tRNA
About the family: Transfer RNA (tRNA) molecules are approximately 80 nucleotides in length.
Source: RNAcentral
GCGCCCGUAGCUCAGGGGAUAGAGUGAUGGCCUCCGAAGCCAUAGGUCGCGCGUUCGAUUCGCGCCGGGCGCGCCA